This is a long non-coding RNA of Hordeum vulgare subsp. vulgare (domesticated barley), 6448 nucleotides long. RefSeq lists it as uncharacterized. The record is from RefSeq and is a predicted model, not a curated record. Lineage: Eukaryota; Viridiplantae; Streptophyta; Magnoliopsida; Poales; Poaceae. The transcript has 5 exons.
CCUAAGGCAGGCAAGGGCAAGGAAAGCAAUAUGUGAACCGGAGAAAGUUCUACCAUGGAUGACCAGAGAACCCCGUUGACCCCCUGCUCCCGAAUACAAUCCCGAUGAUUUGGAGGGGCACAUGGAUGCGGAAAAGCCCGAGGACCUCGACGAUUUCGAGGAUAGCAACUACAUCCCUCUUUUCAAAGAGGAAGAUAGUCUCGGAGACAAGGAUUUCAUCGUCCCCGAAGACCCGCUGGACCAAGAACGAUUCAAGCGGCAACUUAUAGCCAAUGCUCGCAGCCUCACGACAAAACAGUAACAAAUCAAAGCCGAACAAGAUACCAUCAACGAAAGAUGGACUCAAGUCCUAGCCGUCGAAGAAGGGUACGACAGGGAUAAAAGAAAAGUUACCCGCAUUGUCGGUUAUUGCCAGAGUUCGAAGACGAGGCCUUCGAGCCCACACUGCCCAGGUUCACUCAGGGCGGCCAGCUGGACCGCCCCCCUCGAGGACGGGAUAGGACGACUGGAAAAGCUGGUGAACAACCCGAACACCUUCGCAGAAGAAGGAAAGAGCCAACACAUCCCGAAGACCCAUCUGACCUGCGACACAACUUGAAUGCCAAGGCAGGACAAAUAAGAUCCAUUUAUGGGUCCACAGGGCUCACCCCCGCUAGAUGGGACGGAUACCGAGCUCGGCUCGAUCAGAAUGUUAGAGUUUGGGAGCUGCCUCGGGUCAGGACUUCAUUCGAUCUCCAACAUGACGUAGCUCAGAUCAGGGGCACCGCUCACCCAAUGUGUUUCAAAGACGAGGUGAUGCAGCACCGGUUCCCUGAAGGGUUCAAACCCAUAGAUAUCGAACAAUACAACAGGACAAUAGACCCGUCCGUGUGGAUCGAAGACUUUCUUCUCCACAUUCAUAUGGCCCGAGGCGAUGACCUCCAUGCCAUCAAAUAUUUACCAUUGAAGCUCAAGGGACCAACACAACAUUGGAUGAAUAGCCUCCCUGGAAACUCCAUUGGGAGUUGGGAAGAGCUCGAAGACGCUUUCCCAGCUAAUUUUCGAGGCACAUAUGUCCGACCGCCGGGUUUUGAUGACUUGAGUCACAUAGUCCAACAAGCCGGAGAGUCAUCCGGGCAAUUUUGGAAUCGAUUCCUGACAAAUAAAAACCAAAUUGUCGACUAUUCAGAUGCCGAGGCACUAGUUCCCUUCAGAAACAAUAUUCGAGAUGAAUGGCUAGCCAGGACGCUUGGGCAGGAUAGGCCAAGAAUAAUGGCAGCACUUACCUCGCUUAUGACCAACUUUUGUGCGGCAAGGAUAGCUGACUAGCCUGUCGGAACAACCCUCCCUGAAACUCACGCACGUCCAAACUCCGAGACGGCAAUGGCAAGCCACGGUGCAACAAGAACAAGCGUCGACACAACGACGAUGAAACCAAUGACACGUCAGUCAAUGCCAGAUUCAGCAACUCCAGGUCUGGACCGCGAAAGAAACCCUUUAAGGGGAAUCGUGAUGGACCGACCGCACUAGACAAAAUACUGGACAAGCCUUGCCAGAUCCACAACACCUCAAAUAAGCCUGUUACUCACACCAAUCGUAACUGUUGGGUGAUUAAACAGGUGAGCAAAAACACAGCGGAAGACCAGGGCAAGAGUUCCCGCAACGAGGACGAUGAGGGACCUCGCAAUCCGAAAAAUGGAGGCCAAAAGCAAUUCCCUCCUGAGGUCAAAAUUGUGAACAUGAUCUACGUCACACACAUACCAAAUAAGGAGAGGAAGCGCGCGCUUCGGGAUGUCUAUGCCAUAGAGCCAGUAGCUUCGAAGUAUAACUCAUGGUCGGCGUGCCCGAUCACCUUUGACCACACGAAUCACCCAACCAGUAUUCGACACGAGGGUUCGGCGACCCUGGUACUUGACCCCAUUAUCGAUGGGUACCACCUCACUAGAGUCCUUUAUGAACGGAGGCAACAGCCUCAAUCUGACUUACGCACACACAAUGAGGAAAAUGGGUAUUGAUCCGUUAAGGAUCAAACCCAACAACACCACCUUUAAAGGAAUAAUUUCUGCUGUCGAGGCCCGCUGCUUGUCGUGGGAAUGAUCCUGACAAUAGUACCAGGGGUACGAACUAAGGGGCAAAGUCUAGCUAGGCGAAGUGGAUGCACUCGGAUUUACGAGUUCAGGGCCCACUCGGAGGUGGUAAUAGCUCUACGUCUCGAGCCCGGAGGCUGGUGUUUUCUUAUAGGGGGUGUAAAAGAUUACAAGUGCUGAACCUUGAGCCGGUGCCCGGGAGUGGCUUAUAUAGUGACUGCCACGACCGAUCGAGCACCAUUACAAGGCAAUAAAUGAUAAUAAAGAGGGAAGUUACAGGCAACGAUGGCCUUAAUCCCUAGAGUUACUGGUAACACGGGUAUUCAUGGGCCUUCAUGCAUGUGUUUAAGUCCUUGGCCGUUGCAGUCCCUUCAUCGUCCCUGCCUUGAUGUGGAUCGAGUGCUGGGAGCAUCCGAUUGCCGCAAAGCAGACUGAGUGACCUCUCGUGACCGAGUGAGGGCGCAAUGACCGAAUGAGGUUGAGGCUAUCAUGAUGACUUGUAGGACACUGAUGUCCUUACGGGUACUUAGGCGGGCCCUACGGAAAACGGGUCCAUGGGCCUACCCCUUAAGUAUAAUCCCGUCAGUAGCCCCCGAAUCGGUAGAGGUUUUCUGGCCGAGUGAAUGAUUCCCUUGGUGUUUCGGAGACACACAUGUCGCCGUCAGAGGAAGCGUCAUUCGGACUCUUAAAUAGCCACUACAGAUUCAAUAGCAAGAAAUCCCGAAUGUCCGAGCGUACCGGUAAGUUCACAUUCGGUAAGAUCAAGUACCUCUCAGGGAGAUUUGUUUGAUGAUUCGGAUGAUCAUGAGCCCAGAGCUCCAUGUAUCUAGUCGGUGAGCUGGAACGGAUCCACUCGUACCGGGGUAGAGGCGACCUGAUCGCCUUUUUGUGUUGCCCGAAUGAUCGGGGUCCUGCGGAGGGACAGGUGAGAAGAGUGCUCGGUCAAUAUCGUCACACGCCGUGGACACAGAGUCCAUUUGGGUCGCGAGGGGGAGCUGUUUCCUCCGCAGAUUUUGAAUUGGAUGCGCGCGCAGGGGCGGCGAAAUUGGAGGCGACAUGGUUAGUGGAGGUAGUGGCGCGACACCCCGAUUUCCGCGCCUGCAUUGUCGCGUCGUGCUACAGUGCGCGCUGUCACCGGGAUCCUGUGGAUCUUCCUCGGGACGGCAACACACUUGAUGGGGCAUCUUCUUUAAUGGUAUUUAAGGCCUUCAGAUGAGAGGGGGAAGGUACCGUGCCUCAGAUCUAGACUCUUACCCCCCGUUUCCAAUCCUCCCAAUUGAAACCACCCACUGCGCUCCGACGCUGGCGUCUGCUCGUCCCCCUUCUUCCACCGAGCGCCAUGGUGAAAGGGGCGACGACGAAGGCCGAGCGAGCCAAGAGGGGAUCACGUAGAUCUUCUUCGAGCACCAGGGCGCUCCCGCCGGACUGGAUCCAGGGCGAUUGGUUGCCGUCCUGGGUCACGGUCGGGCGUCUGCAGGAGCUGGAGGGCGAGGGUCUCAUUGCUCCGAGGAGCUGGCGGCUGCCCGACGCCAACGAGUUUGAGCCAGCACCGAGAGAUGAUGAGCGAGUAUUGCUUGUCAGUCACGUCGAGAGAGGUUUGUCCCUGCCUCCAUAUCCUUUCAUUCAAGCUUUCUUAGCCUUCUUCGGUGCAUAGUUGCAUCAUCUUCCUCCCAAUGUUGUCUCCUACUUAGCCGCUCUUGUUUCUCUGUGUGAGAACUUCCUCCGUUGCCAUCCACACUAGGGUUUGUUCAAACACCUGUUUACUUGUCGAGUGAUGACUGUUAAGAAGUCCCCUCAGUCGGGGGGCAGAAGCAAUGUAGUGCAGCUCUGCGGAGGUCUAGGUAUCUAGCUCAGGGGCAAGAGUAGCUUCCCCCAAAUGAACUUCCUUGAUUUUGUGAAGGGGUGGCAGGACUCUUGGUUCUACAGCCAGGAUGUUUUUGUUGGAGAGGGUCAUUCGGGCCUCCCACCAUAUUCCACUGAUAGGGUUCAGUCGGCUCCUGCCUUGACCGUGUCGAAGGUGGAGAAAGUUGAUGUCGAUAUUCUGGUGAUUGCGUUGGUUGCUGUGAUGCGCAAAGGCAUCAACGGAAUGGACCUCCUGGAAGUCUUCUUUCAUCGUAGGAUACAACCCCUUCAGGCCAGAGCCCAUCCCAUGUGGAUGUACAAGGAGCCGGAUGACCGAACUCGUGUUCACCCGGAGGAGCUUACGGAGAAGCAGCUGUAAGAUAAGAUCAUGGCCAUCACUCCGUUGAGGGACAACCCAGGGGGACUAGGACGGUGCCUCCUUUCUCAGUGGAUAUUCCGCCGAAUGAGGUAAGCUACUGCCCUUUACGUCUGAGUGAUUUUCCUCAUUGUCCCGAUACUUGUUUGUAACGCGAUCUUCCCCACUCGGUAGGCUUUUACCGGGCUAGUUAGCUCCGUCCCGGUGGUUGACUGAAUGCCCGUUGAUGUGGAGAGCGACACCGAACGCCUGGAGGGCUCGGAUGCAGGUGACGAUGAAGAUAUCGAUGAUGAAGACGACAACGAGGAGGUGGAGGAGAGUGACGACGAUGAUCAGGGGGAUCAGGCGAAGUCCUCUCCGUUUGAUGAGGUCCCACCCGAGGCCCGCAGCAAGGUGCGCCAGGAUCCGAGGACCCGUGCUGGCACCUUGAGGAUCCCGAGGGUGACAAAGCCAAGUGUAUCGACAAUGCCGACCCGCAGUUCCAAACAGGGUCGAAGUGAGGCCACGAAGCCGCCGGAGAAGACUGCCAAACAACCCAAGGUCGCGAGCUCCAAACCUCGGAAGGCUGUCCUGCCACGCAUCAAGGUUGAUGUGCCCAUCGCUUCGGCGGCCGAUACUUCGACCGCUUCUCUGGAAGCCCAGGCCACUAACAAGGGGAAGACUGCCGCUGAUGCUGCUUCUUCCAAAGGACUACGGGACGUGAUCGAACUUGACCCUGAGGCUUCUUUUGCAAUUGAAUAGGCUCCCAAGCAGGCCGCCACUUUGAGCCGAGUGGUUGCCAUAACCAAGACUUUUGAGGCCCACGAGACCACCUCGGUCGGGACGUCACUCGGAAUGGGUCUGUUGCCUCCUCCAACGGAUCGCCGCAUGUUCCAGCUCCACCACAUUCGAGAGGAUGAGGAGGAGGCGUGCAAGGAAGCCUUGGCUUAGCUGGACCUGAUGGUCGGACGAUUGAAGGAGGCGUAUGACGCCAGCGAGGCCAUGGCCAAAAAUGUUCGGACUCCUUGUGGGCCCAUGGACCGUACCGGAGCGGCUGAUCAAGUGUUGUUGGAUUUGCGCCUCAACCCGGAAGCUAAAAAAGCCAAGUGCACUCGCCUUGAGCAGGAGAAGAAAGUCGUUGAAGAUCGCCUUGCUGAGAGGCUGAAGAAUUCCAUUUCUUUAGUCGCCAUGAAGGAGGCCCUCGAGAAGAGGGAUGUAGAACUGGUGUCAGCUCAGAAGGAAGCCAACCAAAAGACCAGGGCAGCCGAGGCCAAGUUGAAGGCCGUUGAGAAGCUCGAGGAGGAGAACUGACUGUUGAAGGUGGUCGCUGAAGAGACUGCACGAGAGAUUGCCGACCCGAAGAAGAGCUACGCCGAGUGGGAGACCAAGUUCUUGGAGGUCAGUGUCAAACGAGCGGAGCUCGAGAAGUUCGUUGAGGACUUCGGCUUAGACCUUGUCGGCAAGCUCAAAGGUAUGGCUGAAUCCCGAAUGAUUUCUAUUGUUGUCUUGUCAUUUUCGAGUGAUGAUCUUCAUCCUUUGUCUUUGAUUGAAUCCAUCUUUCUGUGUGGAUCUCGAGGAGGAGACGACUUCGAUUGAGAAGGAACUGAACCCGAAGACUGGGCUUAUGAAGGACAGUACUGCCAUCACUCUCCUCCGACUAGAAGCUCGCAUCGAUUACGCGCUGGGCUACUUCAGAUGGAUCCAUUCGGCUAUGGCGGAGGUUGAUGAGGGGACCGGCCCUAAAGAAGAACCCAUGAAGGAUGCUCACACGAUUUUUGAUCGAGCGAAAGCUAUUCCCGGGCACCUUCAGUCUUGGAAGAAGUCGGCGGCUCGUGCUGGAGCGGACAUCGGCCUCUCGCUCGUCCGAAUCCACUGCAGGGGGUGGAUGAGGAGAAGCUGAAGAACCUUCGAGUGGUCAUCAAGAAGAGCAUCAAGUUUGAGGACGUCAUCGAGAUGUUCAGGGAGGCGGCCACCCGGAUCGCCGACGACAUCGAUCUUGAUACCUUCGUGGAGGCAGUGGGGUCUCCGUCCUUUGAGUGAACCUCGGAAAAAACUCUUAAGUUUCAAUUCGCCUCGGCAUGCCGAGUGGUUUUAUGUAACCCUUUAAACUCUGAGUAAGCCUUGGGCUUUCUCGCAUGCACCUUUUAUUUAAAUUGAAGUGCGACUUUGUUCGCUUUGAAUUGCA